CCAUGGGCCUCAAAUAAUGUGUGACUACCCCCUAAAUUUAAGCAUA
This 46-nucleotide ribosomal RNA is filed under the name Anopheles maculipennis. RNAcentral describes it as "28S ribosomal RNA". Lineage: Eukaryota; Metazoa; Arthropoda; Insecta; Diptera; Culicidae. The record is from RNAcentral.